GAUGAAGAACGUAGCGAAAUGCGAUACGUAAUGUGAAUUGCAGAAUUCAGUGAAUCAUCGAAUCUUUGAACGCAUAUUGCGCUCUCUGGUAUUCCGGAGAGCAUGCUUGUUUGAGUAUCAGUAAACACCUCAACUCCCUUUUCUUUUUUGAAAUUGGAGCUGGACUUGAGUGAUCCCAACGCUUUCUUCCAAGAAAGUGGCGGGUUGCUUGAAAUGCAGGUGCAGCUGAACUUUUCUCUGAGGUAUAAGCAUAUCUAUUUAGUCUGCCUAAAAAACAGAUUAUUACCUUUGCUGCAGCUAACAUAAAGGAGACUAGUUCUUGUGCUGACUGAUGCAGGAUUCACAGAGACAGCUUCGGCUGACUUUGUAAACUCGAUCUCAAAUCAAGUAAGACUACCCGCUGAACUUAAGCAUAUCAAUAAGCGGAGGA
Molecule: unclassified non-coding RNA, 430 nt
Filed under: soil metagenome
Description: partial contains 5.8S ribosomal RNA, internal transcribed spacer 2, and large subunit ribosomal RNA
Rfam family: 5.8S ribosomal RNA (bases 1-120)
Source: RNAcentral